RNAcentral lists this ribosomal RNA (403 nucleotides) under uncultured bacterium. RNAcentral describes it as "partial 16S ribosomal RNA". It matches the Rfam family "Bacterial small subunit ribosomal RNA", at positions 28 to 526 of the family's 1533-position model. The record is from RNAcentral.
GACGAACGCUGGCGGCGUGCCUAAUACAUGCAAGUCGAACGCAGUGGGGACGGGUGAGUAACACGUGGGUAACCUCCCAUCAGAGGGGAUAACACUUGGAAACAGGUGCUAAACCGAUAUUGAUGGAUGGACCCGCGGUGCAUUAGCUAGUUGGUGAGGUAACGGCUCACCAAGGCCAUGAUGCAUAGCCGACCUGAUAGAAGGAUCAGCUACACUGGGACUGAGAGACGGCCCGGAGUCCUACGUGAGGCAGCAGUAGGGAAUAUUGCACAAUGGGCGCAAGCCUGAUGCAGCCAGGCCGCGUGUAUGAAGAAGGCCUUAGGGUUGUAAGACUUUAAGCGAGGAGGAGCGUUACCCGCAGAAGAAGCACCGGCUAACUCCGUGCCAGCAGCCGCGGUGAUUC